This 211-nucleotide long non-coding RNA is filed under the name Mytilus galloprovincialis (Mediterranean mussel). The record is from RNAcentral. Lineage: Eukaryota; Metazoa; Mollusca; Bivalvia; Mytilida; Mytilidae.
GGGCGCUCGGUGGUCGAGUGGUUACGUUGUCAUUUUGGGGCCUUUUAUAGCUGACUAUACGGUAUGGGCUUUGCUCAUUGUUGAAGGCCGUACGGUGACCUAUAGUUGUUAAUUUCUGUGUCAUUUUGGCCUCUUGUGGAGAGUUGUCUCAUUGGCAGUCAUACCACAUCUUCUUUUUUAUAAGUAGUCGAACUGCUGUAUCACUAGCAUG